Long non-coding RNA from Sinocyclocheilus grahami, 193 nucleotides. RefSeq lists it as uncharacterized. NCBI's taxonomy places the organism in Eukaryota, Metazoa, Chordata, Actinopteri, Cypriniformes, Cyprinidae. The record is from RefSeq and is a predicted model, not a curated record. The transcript is spliced from 3 exons.
UGUUGAUAGAGGAGGCAACAUCUUCAAGGCAAAACCUUAGACCUCAUUCAACAUCAUCCAAUGUUGCAAUCCCCCUCAGGAGCCCAGUGCCCGAUGUGCACAGGAACAUUUCCAGUGUCAGAAGUAGAACUGCCAUACCAGCCUUUGUGGAGAAAGGCUCUCCAAGGAAGGUGAUUUUCAAGGGACAGACAGG